Molecule: non-coding RNA, 187 nt
Filed under: Bacillus spizizenii
Lineage: Bacteria; Bacillati; Bacillota; Bacilli; Caryophanales; Bacillaceae
Description: 6S RNA
Rfam family: 6S / SsrS RNA
About the family: E. coli 6S RNA was the first non coding RNA to be sequenced, but its function was unknown until recently.
Source: RNAcentral
AAGAAGCUACUUUGUGCGUAUUGUUAAUUAAGUUUUAACCUUUAAGCUGUAAUAGGGAGUUUUAUAUCGAAGCUGGAAUGUCAUGCCUCCAUUGCAGAGGACGACAGGAACGUUUCUGCAAACAUCCACUUUGAGGAGUGGUGGUUUAAAACUUUCUUACUUGCAUACGGCAAGAUGUAGCGAAAGC